This 468-nucleotide ribosomal RNA is filed under the name uncultured bacterium. RNAcentral's name for it is "partial 16S ribosomal RNA". It matches the Rfam family "Bacterial small subunit ribosomal RNA", at positions 28 to 507 of the family's 1533-position model. The record is from RNAcentral.
GACGAACGCUGGCGGCGUGCUUAACACAUGCAAGUCGAACGGAAAGGCCCUGCUUUUGUGGGGUGCUCGAGUGGCGAACGGGUGAGUAACACGUGAGUAACCUGCCCUUUACUUUGGGAUAACUUCAGGAAACUGGGGCUAAUACCGGAUAGGAGCUCCUGCUGCAUGGUGGGGGUUGGAAAGUUUCGGCGGUUGGGGAUGGACUCGCGGCUUAUCAGCUUGUUGGUGGGGUAGUGGCUUACCAAGGCUUUGACGGGUAGUCGGCCUGAGAGGGUGACCGGCCACAUUGGGACUGAGAUACGGCCCAGACUCCUACGGGAGGCAGCAGUGGGGAAUAUUGCACAAUGGGCGGAAGCCUGAUGCAGCAACGCCGCGUGCGGGAUGGCGGCCUUCGGGUUGUAAACCGCUUUCGCCUGUGACGAAGCGUGAGUGACGGUAAUGGGUAAAGAAGCACCGGCUAACUACGUG